Molecule: ribosomal RNA, 429 nt
Filed under: Actinomycetes bacterium
Lineage: Bacteria; Bacillati; Actinomycetota; Actinomycetes
Description: Actinobacteria bacterium partial 16S ribosomal RNA
Rfam family: Bacterial small subunit ribosomal RNA
Source: RNAcentral
UAGGGAAUCUUCCGCAAUGGGCGAAAGCCUGACGGAGCAACGCCGCGUGAGUGAUGAAGGUCUUCGGAUCGUAAAACUCUGUUAUUAGGGAAGAACAAAUGUGUAAGUAACUAUGCACGUCUUGACGGUACCUAAUCAGAAAGCCACGGCUAACUACGUGCCAGCCGCCGCGGUAAUUCGUAGGUGGCAAGCGUUAUCCGGAAUUAUUGGGCGUAAAGCGCGCGUAGGCGGUUUUUUAAGUCUGAUGUGAAAGCCCACGGCUCAACCGUGGAGGGUCAUUGGAAACUGGAAAACUUGAGUGCAGAAGAGGAAAGGGGAAUUCCAUGUGUAGCGGUGAAAUGCGCAGAGAUAUGGAGGAACACCAGUGGCGAAGGCGACUUUCUGGUCUGUAACUGACGCUGAUGUGCGAAAGCGUGGGGAUCAAACAGG